CUAAAUAUAUAUAGUGAAGCUGCUGAUGAAGCUGUUCGAAAUGGUUCCCAACUGCUUGUUCUGUCAGACCGUUCUGAUGUGCUGGAACCAACUCGUCCGGCAGUUCCAAUACUUCUGGCUGUUGGUGCGGUUCAUCAGCAUCUUAUUCAGAAUGGAUUGUGAAUGUCAGCUUCUAUUGUUGCAGAGACUGCACAAUGCUUCAGCACUCAUCAGUUUGCCUGUUUGGUUGGAUUUGGUGCAAGUGCCAUAUGUCCAUACUUGGCACUAGAAACAUGCCGACAGUGGCGUCUGAGUAAUAAAACCGUAAACAAUUAUGAGGAAUGGAAAGAUGCCUACUGUAACAAUUGAGCAGGCUCAAAAGAACUUUUGCAAGGCUGUUAAAUCCGGUCUUCUCAAAAUUCUUUCCAAAAUGGGAAUCUCAUUGCUUUCUAGGCUUAAGCAAGGGAGAAAGCUGAAAAAGAGGGAUUUGAAGUAAGCAAUCCCAAGACCCAAAAUUUGGUGGCUAACACAAAGGCCCUAGCAGAAAAUGAAGGGGAGGGACUUGCCAAGCACAGUUGAAGAGUUGGUGGAAGUGGGUCCUGAACAGUUAAAGGAGUAAAAGAUAUAAGGUGUUAGCAAAUAGCUUUCAAUGAAGGGAUGAUAUCCUCCUCCAUUAACUGAGGCAGUGGCUUGGCCGCAGCUUUUGCUGGAGGUUUGGCCUUUGCUGGAGCUUCUUCUUGAGCUGUCUUCACCUCCUUUGUGGGUCUUUGGGUACUUAAUAUACCGACUAAGAUGAAUGAGCUGUUGGUGCCAUAUUGUCAGCAACUGAUUCAGUUUGCACGCUGCAGGGACAAGGAGCUUGUCAUUUCCUUCAAUGGGAGGAUACUCAAGAAAUUACCACAAUUAAUGAUCUUGUAGAUGAAAGCAAACAUGGCAUAUCUGUAGAUUCUACUUCAACAAGCCAUGAGUUAGUCACUAAAAUGGGUGAUUUGAGUACUAAUAAUUGAAAGAGGAAGUUUGAUUCACUAGAGAUGGAAAAUCCUCAACAUCUCCCAACUUCUGUGGCUGUACAUGAACAUUUUG
Molecule: long non-coding RNA, 1062 nt
Organism: Quercus robur (English oak)
Lineage: Eukaryota; Viridiplantae; Streptophyta; Magnoliopsida; Fagales; Fagaceae
Exons: 10
Source: RefSeq, a predicted model, not a curated record